This 2008-nucleotide long non-coding RNA is filed under the name Ornithorhynchus anatinus (platypus). RNAcentral's name for it is "lncRNA (ENSOANG00000051117.1)". Lineage: Eukaryota; Metazoa; Chordata; Mammalia; Monotremata; Ornithorhynchidae. The record is from RNAcentral.
GGUACAGUACAAAUGCUAUAAUGGAAUGAGAAAACAUUUAGCUAAGAAUUUGCUCUCAAGUAGGUAGACAAUUUUAAAAGUUGUAUUAUUUAAAAAUCCUUAAAUGUGGCAUUCUUCCUGUCCUACCUUUGGAAUAUGUUUCAGGUGUAUGGGAAGAAUCUGACCCUGUUCUUGGACUACAAGGCACAAUUCCUAACCCGGGAAGAAAUUUCUGCUAAUUGGUGUUGGUUCUGCAGAAACCAAUCCCCCAACAAAAAAACAGAUGCUGACCUUUUCUGAGCAAGAAAUAUGAUUUUUUAUGAGAAAACAGAUGUUUUUGAUCAGAGUUUGCAAAUUUAGUAUUUGGUCCCACACAAACACCUGCAGGAAUUAUUAUUAAUAAUAACAAUAAUAAUAUGGUUAUGUGCUUAUUAUGGGUCAAGCACUGUUCUAAGUGAUGAGGUAAGUGCAAGUUAAUCAAGUUGAAUACAGUCCCACAUGCAGCUCACAGCAUAAGUAGAAGGGAAAAAAUAGUAUGGAAUCCCUAUUUUGCAGUGGAGGAAACUGAGGCAGAGAAGUUAAGUGACUUGCCCAAGGUUAUACAAUAGGUCCUCUGACUCCCAGGCCUGAGUUCUUCUGAAGCCAGCAUUAACCAGUUUUGUCUCCAAGCUAUCCCUGGCCACCUAAAUGUCACCAUUCUUGCAUCAAUGAUAACCACAUUUUGGCUUUUCUAGCCUCCCUCAGCCCUGUUGGUUAAACUUCACUAGCCUCUUUGGAAAGUUCCAAGAAAACUGAUAAUGCUUGGGGAAACAGUGUUUCCAAGAGAGCAGCUGGGUGCAAAACUAAUAUGAAGAGAGCCUACCUCCAUUGACUAUCACAGUGCUUUCCGAUUGGGGAUGGAAAUAUUUUACUUCCACUUAUAGUCAAAUUACUCCUUGUACUGGAAACACAACCACCAAUAAUCUGUUUAUAUAGUACUAGUCUCCCUUGUUCUUUUCCACUGUGAGAUUCCCGGAAGGCCCAUCUCUUGUCUAUUAAAGGUACACUCUCCUGGUGUGGGAAAAAGAAUUUAAUUACCAAUGGAAAACAGGGAAACUGUUUCUCAAGAAAAAAGAAUUAGGCAGCUUAGUAACAUUUUGGUUGUUUCCUGAAUUAGCAAAUAAGAUCGGAUAAGAACCAGAAUAUUAGUAGAUAAAAAUGAUUAGCAACCCAAGGCAGCAGCAUCAAGCAGAUUCCUGGGGUAAUUAGAAAGCUUUCGGUCAGUCUGCAGAAAUUUCGGCAAAAGAAUCGAAAAUCCUCUUUCAUUCAAAUAAAAACGAGGCUGUUUUGUUUGUGGUGAUAUCCUUGAUUUGAGCUACUUCCUCAUAAAGAUCCAGGUUUUGUUUUUUCCCAUUAAACACUGGUCAGAGACAGGUUAAGGGGUGGCAUUCCCCCCUGCAAACAAUAAGAGAUCCAAAAGAUAUUUACCCCUUAUAGUCUUUUGUAAGCAAGUUUUAGAUUUACAGUUCUUUCUGCAAACACCUCAGAAAGCAAAACUGUUUACUAUUCAACAGUGAGCCAUAAUCACCGGUUGCAUAGCGGAACAUUUGUUUAUGUUCCGUAUAUAAUCAAACAUCGUCCAAACUACUAAGUACACAAAUGUAUAUCAGCCACCAUUAAUACCCAAAACUCGUAGCAGUAGUACAGUAAUAGAAAUCCUACCUAUUGAGCACCCACUGGGUGAAGGGCACUAUAUUAAACACGGGAAUAUACAACAGAUGCACGCAAAGGAAGCUAAAAUAUACCAGGGGAAACCAACAUAAAAAUCUUAGCAGAUACCUAUCAACUCCAUUGUAUUGUAUUCUCUCAAGUGCUUAGCACUGUGCUCUGCACACAAUAAGUGCCCAAUAAAUACCACUGAUUGAACCAGUGCUUCAGGCUGAAUUUUCAUUCUUGUUCAAUUCUUAUAUGUCCUGGCCCGAUUUAUUUCCACAGAAGGGCCAAAUUAAAGGAACACAACCAAGAGGAUGAGCUCUUCUCUUCUAAACAU